GUGAUGAUUACCAACACCAUUCAUGCCUAAAUGAUUACGACGAUGUCCACUUAGACGAAAAUUAUUAUUUUUAUCCUCCCUUAGGUGAUAAAGAAACUAUUAUUUGACGAGCGAUUCUUCGAGACGGUAGGGAAGGACUGAUUGAAGAUUCCAUUUAUGGGAACAAAGAGAAUUGUUGUCAAAAUUCAUUUAAAUCAAAACCAGCAACUCAAAAAUCAACAAAGCGAAGUAAUACGGCACCAUCGAAAACAAGUCAAAAAAAAUUAAGUGACGAGGAGAUCGAACUUUUAAUUAUUGAGGUACAAAAUAGAAUUCCUCUGUGGAAUUUUAAUAUUCCACUAGCGGAAAGAACACGAGAAAUAACAGCUACGCUUUGGGAAGAAGUUUCUGCAACAUUGAAUGGUAAAAAUGAAUGAUUGUAUCUUUUAUAGCGUGUACUCUAUCAAAAUGAAAUACUAAUAUUGAUUAAAAUGAAGUAUAAAAUGAAA
Microplitis demolitor is the source of this 488-nucleotide long non-coding RNA. RefSeq lists it as uncharacterized. The transcript is spliced from 3 exons. The record is from RefSeq and is a predicted model, not a curated record. Lineage: Eukaryota; Metazoa; Arthropoda; Insecta; Hymenoptera; Braconidae.